AGCGAACGCUGGCGGUAGGCCUAACACAUGCAAGUCGAACGGCAGCACAGGAGAGCUUGCUCUCUGGGUGGCGAGUGGCGGACGGGUGAGGAAUACAUCGGAAUCUACUCUGUCGUGGGGGAUAACGUAGGGAAACUUACGCUAAUACCGCAUACGACCUACGGGUGAAAGCAGGGGACCUUCGGGCCUUGCGCGAUUGAAUGAGCCGAUGUCGGAUUAGCUAGUUGGCGGGGUAAAGGCCCACCAAGGCGACGAUCCGUAGCUGGUCUGAGAGGAUGAUCAGCCACACUGGAACUGAGACACGGUACAGACUCCUACGGGAGGCAGCAGUGGGGAAUAUUGGACAAUGGGCGCAAGCCUGAUCCAGCCAUACCGCGUGGGUGAAGAAGGCCUUCGGGUCGUAAAGCCCUUUUGUUGGGAAAGAAAUCCAGCUGGCUAAUACCCGGUUGGGAUGACGGUACCCAAAGAAUAAGCACCGGCUAACUUCGUGCCAGCCGCCGCCGUAA
Molecule: ribosomal RNA, 506 nt
Filed under: uncultured bacterium
Lineage: Bacteria
Description: partial 16S ribosomal RNA
Rfam family: Bacterial small subunit ribosomal RNA
Source: RNAcentral